AUUCCGGUUGAUCCUGCCGGACCCGACUGCUAUCGGCAUGGGAUUAAGCCAUGUUAGUCGUGCGUCCUCCGGCUGUGGAGGGCGCGGCGUACGGCUCAGUAGCACGUAGUCAACCUACCUUGGAGACGCGGACAAUCCCGGGAAACUGGGGCUAAUCCGUGAUAGGUUCGGAGUCCUGGAAUGGCUUCGAGCUCAAAGGGUUGGAGGAGCAUGCUUCUUUUAUUGCUCCAAGAUGGGACUGCGGCCGAUCAGGUUGUUGGCGGGGUAAUGGCCCACCAAGCCUAUAACCGGUGCGGGCUCUGAGAGGAGGAGCCCGGAGAUGGACACUGAGAUAAGGGUCCAGGUCCUACGGGGCGCAGCAGGCGCGAAACCUUCACACUGCGCUAACGCGCGAUGAGGCUAUACCGAGUGCCACCCGCUGAGGGUGGCUUUUCCACGGUCUAAAACGCCGGGGGAAUAAGGGGAGGGCAAGCCUGGUGUCAGCCGCCGCGGUAAUACCAGCUCCCCGAGUGGUCGGGACGAUUAUUGGGCCUAAAGCAUCCGUAGCCGGCUCCAUAGGUCUCUUGUUAAAUCCAACGGCUCAACCGUUGGACUGCAGGAGAUACCAUGGAGCUAGGGGGCGGGAGAGGCGGACGGUACUCCAUGGGUAGGGGUAAAAUCCUCUGAUCCAUGGAAGACCACCAGUGGCGAAGGCGGUCCGCUAGAACGCGCCCGACGGUGAGGGAUGAAAGCUGGGGGAGCGAACCGGAUUAGAUAUGGAGCGGGGGAGCAUAUAUACGCGCAGCAAUCAGUAAGUGCAGUGCUUCACGACAGAAUAUCUACGGGAAGGAUGAUUUGGCGAAGUUUGAAGCUCAGAUCGGAUUCACCCACCCUGUCAAGAAGAACGCACUUGCGCGUGCUCUGUCCGUUCCACUAAAUACCCGGGUAGUCCCAGCUGUAAACGAUGCAGGCUAGGUGAUAGGGGAACUAUAUGUUUCUCUAGUGCCGCAGGGAAGCCGAUAAGCCUGCCGCCUGGGGAGUACGGCUGCAAGGCUGAAACUUAAAGGAAUUGGCGGGGGAGCACCACAAGGGGUGAAGCCUGCGGUUCAAUUGGAGUCAACGCCGGGAACCUUACCAAGGGCGACAGCAGGAUGAAGGUCACUCUGAAGAAAUUACCAGACGAGCUGAGAGGAGGUGCAUGGCCGUCGUCAGCUCGUGCCGUGAGGCGUCCUGUUAAGUCAGGAAACGAGCGAGACCCACACCACAUGUUGCUAUCGUUACCCGAAAGGGUGGCGGGGCUAAUUUGUGGGACCGCCACCGCUAAGGUGGAGGAAGGCGUGGGCCACGGCAGGUCAGUAUGCCCCGAAACCCUUGGGCCACACGCGGGCUGCAAUGAUAGGGACAGCGGGCUCCGACCCCGUAAGGGGGAGGUAAUCCCUAAACCCUAUCCCAGUUAUGACUGAGGGCUGCAACCCGCCCUCACGAAUCUGGAAUCCCUAGUAACCGCGCGUCACCAUCGCGCGGUGAAUACGUCCCUGCUCCUUGCACACACCGCCCGUCGCUCCACCCGAAUUGGUUCAUGGCGAGGUGGCGUCUUGUUGGCGCUAUCGAACCUUGGGUCGAUAAGGGGGGAGAAGUCGUAACAAGGUGGCCGUACGGGAACGUGCGGCCGGAUCACCUCCU
This 1662-nucleotide ribosomal RNA is filed under the name Nitrososphaerota archaeon. RNAcentral's name for it is "bacterial SSU rRNA". It matches the Rfam family "Archaeal small subunit ribosomal RNA". The record is from RNAcentral. Lineage: Archaea; Thermoproteati; Nitrososphaerota.